Molecule: ribosomal RNA, 240 nt
Filed under: uncultured bacterium
Lineage: Bacteria
Description: partial 16S ribosomal RNA
Source: RNAcentral
CUGCUGCCUCCCGUAGGAGUCUGGGCCGUAUCUCAGUCCCAAUGUGGCCGGCCAACCUCUCAGUCCGGCUACUGAUCGUCGCCUUGGUAGGCCGUUACCCUACCAACUAGCUAAUCAGACGCGAGGCCAUCUCUCAGCGAUAAAUCUUUGACAUAAAUGCCAUGCGACACCUAUGUGUUAUGCGGUAUUAGCAGCCGUUUCCAGCUGUUGUCCCCCUCUGAAAGGCAGGUUCCUCACGCG